AACGAACGCUGGCGGCGUGGAUAAGACAUGCAAGUCGAACGGAAUAGCAUGGUAGCAAUAUUAAGCUAUUUAGUGGCGAACGGGUGCGUAACACGUGGACAACAUUCCGAAAAGCGGGGAAUAGCCCAGGGAAACUUGGAUUAAUGCCCCAUGUGGUCGUAAGACUAAAGGCGCAAGCCGCUUUUUGAUUGGUCCGCGGCCUAUCAGCUUGUUGGCGGGGUAACGGCCCACCAAGGUUACGACGGGUAGCUGGUCUUAGAGGACGAACAGCCACACUGGAACUGAGACACGGUCCAGACACCUACGGGUGGCAGCAGUCGAGAAUCUUUCACAAUGGGGGAAACCCUGAUGGAGCGACGCCGCGUGGAGGAUAAGGUCUUCGGAUUGUAAACUCCUGUCAUGCGAGAACAAAGCCUCACGGCCUGAUAGUAUCGCAAGAGGAAGAGACGGCUAACUCUGUGCCAGCCGCCGCCGUAACAC
RNAcentral lists this ribosomal RNA (480 nucleotides) under uncultured bacterium. RNAcentral's name for it is "bacterial SSU rRNA". It matches the Rfam family "Bacterial small subunit ribosomal RNA", at positions 29 to 526 of the family's 1533-position model. The record is from RNAcentral.